AUCACUGUGGACUAAUUGGGUAUCAGGUAAAGAAAAAGCUUAAACCAGUGACCCCACAAAGUGGCGAUCAUCAAUCUAUCACAUUGGGCCAAAGUUCCCCUGCUCUGGGUAGUAAAAACACAGUACUUGGAAAAUCUGGGCCAUCAAUUUCAAGCACCUUAAGGAAAUCUGUACAAGGAACGAUGAAGAGGAAAGAACAUGAUGAUAUUCUGCCGGUUGAAACUGUGAAAGGGGCCAAGGUGAUCAAUACUGGGAAAAGUCAGUCUGUACAGCUGGGGAAUCCUACUGGAAAUCAGCUGAAAGAUCAAGAGGCUAUAAAUCUGAUGCAAGAGAACAACAAGCUGCGAUCUAAAUGCUUGGAAUAUGCGAAGAGGGAGGAGGAACUAAAUCUUAAGGU
Molecule: long non-coding RNA, 397 nt
Organism: Rosa rugosa (rugosa rose)
Lineage: Eukaryota; Viridiplantae; Streptophyta; Magnoliopsida; Rosales; Rosaceae
Exons: 4
Source: RefSeq, a predicted model, not a curated record